Molecule: long non-coding RNA, 234 nt
Organism: Gordionus sp. m RMFG-2023
Lineage: Eukaryota; Metazoa; Nematomorpha; Gordioida; Chordodea; Parachordodidae
Exons: 4
Source: RefSeq, a predicted model, not a curated record
CUUGAAGAUACUGGAAAUGAACAAUUUGCUUCAACAUCCAAUCAUCUUGAAGAUAUUGAAAAUCAAGAACAAAUUCCUACACAAGAUACCUUUGGUGCAAUAUCUAAAUUCCACGGAUCAUAUUGCCGAAAUGUGCCAUUCAACGGACUCUUAAGCUACCCAAAUCAAUAAAAACAAACGAAAUUCCACGAUAUAUAUUACCGAAAUGUACCAUUCAGCAGAAUCUUAAUCUAC